This 468-nucleotide ribosomal RNA is filed under the name uncultured bacterium. Its description in RNAcentral is "partial 16S ribosomal RNA". It matches the Rfam family "Bacterial small subunit ribosomal RNA", at positions 28 to 507 of the family's 1533-position model. The record is from RNAcentral.
GACGAACGCUGGCGGCGUGCUUAACACAUGCAAGUCGAACGGAAAGGCCCUGCUUUUGUGGGGUGCUCGAGUGGCGAACGGGUGAGUACACCGUGGGUACCUUGCCUUUGACUUGGGGUUAACUUAAGGAACCGGGGGCAAUUACCGGAAAGAGGUUCCGGCGCCUGGGUGGGGGUUGGAAAGUUUCGGCGGUUGGGGAUGGACUCGCGGCUUAUCAGCUUGUUGGUGGGGUAGUGGCUUACCAAGGCUUUGACGGGUAGCCGGCCUGAGAGGGUGACCGGCCACAUUGGGACUGAGAUACGGCCCAGACUCCUACGGGAGGCAGCAGUGGGGAAUAUUGCACAAUGGGCGGAAGCCUGAUGCAGCAACGCCGCGUGCGGGAUGACGGCCUUCGGGUUGUAAACCGCUUUCGCCUGUGACGAAGCGCGAGUGACGGUAAUGGGUAAAGAAGCACCGGCUAACUACGUG